Long non-coding RNA from Hypanus sabinus (Atlantic stingray), 1760 nucleotides. RefSeq lists it as uncharacterized. Lineage: Eukaryota; Metazoa; Chordata; Chondrichthyes; Myliobatiformes; Dasyatidae. The record is from RefSeq and is a predicted model, not a curated record. The transcript is spliced from 3 exons.
UCUGCCUGCGUUAUCUCAAUCUUGGAACUUGCACCACGGCCCCACAGGGCGAAAGUUUUCUGCUGACCGAAUUGCAGCCCUUGAUUUCACCAAGACGGCAAGUAAGCAGCCAUCAAAGCCAAAAGCAGACUGGCCUGGUUAAAAUCCCCCAAAACGAUGGUGAAGGCUUAUGGUGCGCUGUUUGCUGCAUGUUGAUCCCAUUGCUCAUAUCAUCUAAAGCCUGACUGACAUUGGCCUGAGGUGGAAUGUCUACCGCUACCAAAGUGAUCCUGGAAAUCUCCUAUGAUGCUGAUGGUGGAUGACACAAUGUGUGCAAAACAUCAGGCACACAUGAGCAAUGAAUCCUCUGUAUUUUCCUACUAUCAAAACAGCAUCAGUUGCACAAGCAACUAUAUUUUCCAAUGGACUAUAGUUUUCCAAGACUUCUCUUGACUUCUUCAAUAAUAGUUUCACCUUUACUCUCUGUUUUAAGCUUUCGGGCGACUGGCCUGAUCAUCAUUCAAAAACCUAGUAUAUGUCAUUAGAAGGGUGUCAGUAUCACAUAAUGUGCUUUCCUCAACUUGCAGGGCAAAUUUCUUAACUUGCAGUUGUGCAUCUAGCUGUUUUUCUGCAUCAUCUGACAUUUCAUCAAUUUGCCUUGAUGCUGAUGAGUUGCUCCAGGGGAUGGCUUGCAUCAUUUCAUAUGCACUCUGAUUCCUAACAGUAGAAAUUCCAUCAGAAACUGUCAGCAGAAUCAAUGAUUCACCUACUGUCUAUGAUGUGGCUUUUGCAAUUGUAAAGGGGGUUUCUUCUUUUUUCUUUGUUACUGUUGGGAAAGGGUUUCUUUGUUUUGUUAAAAGCAGGAAUGUUUCUGUUGCGAGAGAGUGCUGGAAGCUUGUUUGUUAAAAUUUACUGAUAACGAGAAUGGUAUUCCUUUGUAAACCAAAUGGGGAUUAAUGUUCUUUCUUCUGAGUCUGUAAGCUUUUGUUGAUGGGCUUUUGGGGAGAUCGGCGUGAGGGGGUUGAGAGAGAGGACGCAAUGCCGUAAACUGGGCGAGGAACGGACCCCAAGCAGGGGUCCAAGGCCAGGAGGUACUCUGAGGAGGGGGGAUGAAGCUAGAAGUGCUUGGUUGACCACUUCGGAGGGUCCUGAGCUGCGAGUCGAGGAGUUCGGAGGGGAUCGAAUGGUGGCCAGAAGACUUCAGUAAUUGAGCUCCAACGGUUGUGCACGAAGUGGUUUGGACUUUGAUAAGUUUGGCGCCUUUUCUUUAUUUUUUCUCUUCAUAUAUACUGUAUCGUUAUUAAUCACUUAGUUAUAGUAACCUUUAUAAAUUGUACUCAUUUAAUCGCUUAUGGUGUACUGUCUGUUUUUGGGCGAGGCAGGGACAUCACACAGCAUCCACACCAGCUGAUUACCCAGUUUGGCGGGGCCGAAGGCUGCUCCCCCUAGACGAGAACGAGCUGAGCGAGCCUGAGGCGACCCAGGGGGUUACACAAUUAAGCUUGAAAUCUCAUAAGAUACAAGUAAUUCUUUUUCCAUCUUAGCUACUUUUUCACUAAAAACUUGCUUUACUGUCAGACUUGAUUGAAAAUUAUCAUGUAAAUUUUGAACUAAUCUAGUGUUUUGUCUUUCUCAUCCUUACAUGCCAUCGCCAAGUGCUUUCUCAGUUUAAAUGCUUUUAUUUGAAAGUAUAGUCAUACAAAUUAUCCUUUUGUCCUGUAAGGGACAUGGGUAAUAUAUGUGUGUGUGUUUGUACAUAAACAAACAACAAACCAUUAAAC